GACGAACGCUGGCGGCGUGCUUAACACAUGCAAGUCGAACGGAAAGGCCCUGCUUUGGUGGGGUGCUCGAGUGGCGAACGGGUGAGUAACACGUGAGUAACCUGCCCUUGACUUUGGGAUAACUUCAGGAAACUGGGGCUAAUACCGGAUAGGAGCUCCUGCUGCAUGGUGGGGGUUGGAGAGUUUCGGCGGUUGGGGAUGGACUCGCGGCUUCUCAGCUUGUGUGUGGGGUAGUGGCAUCCCAAGGCUUUGGCGGGUAGCCGGCCUGAGAGGGUGCCCGGCCACUGUGGCACUGAUAUACGGCCCAGACUCCUACGGGGGGCAGCAGGGGGGAAUAUUGCACAAUGGGCGGAAGCCUGAUGCAGCAACGCCGCGUGCGGGAUGACGGCCUUCGGGUUGUAAUCCGCUUUCGCCUGUGACGAAGCGUGAGUGACGGUAAUGGGUAAAGAAGCACCGGCUAACUACGUG
Molecule: ribosomal RNA, 468 nt
Filed under: uncultured bacterium
Lineage: Bacteria
Description: partial 16S ribosomal RNA
Rfam family: Bacterial small subunit ribosomal RNA
Source: RNAcentral